This 253-nucleotide ribosomal RNA is filed under the name uncultured bacterium. RNAcentral describes it as "partial 16S ribosomal RNA". It matches the Rfam family "Bacterial small subunit ribosomal RNA", at positions 524 to 776 of the family's 1533-position model. The record is from RNAcentral. RNAcentral also lists the same sequence under 1 other name.
UACGUAGGUGACAAGCGUUAUCCGGAUUUACUGGGUGUAAAGGGCGUGUAGGCGGUUUUGCAAGUCAGAUGUGAAAUUCCCAGGCUUAACCUGGGCGCUGCAUCUGAAACUGCAAGACUUGAGUACUGGAGAGGAUAGUGGAAUUCCUAGUGUAGCGGUAAAAUGCGCAGAUAUUAGGAGGAACACCGGUGGCGAAGGCGACUAUCUGGACAGUAACUGACGCUGAGGCGCGAAAGCGUGGGGAGCAAACAGG